GCCCCUGUGAUGGAACUGGUAGACAUGGUGCCCUCAAAAGGCAUUGCCGAAAGGCGUGUCGGUUCGAAUCCGACCGGGGGUACCA
This 85-nucleotide transfer RNA is filed under the name Jatrophihabitans endophyticus. Its description in RNAcentral is "tRNA-Leu". It matches the Rfam family "tRNA". Rfam says of the family: Transfer RNA (tRNA) molecules are approximately 80 nucleotides in length. Their secondary structure includes four short double-helical elements and three loops (D, anti-codon, and T loops). The record is from RNAcentral. Lineage: Bacteria; Bacillati; Actinomycetota; Actinomycetes; Jatrophihabitantales; Jatrophihabitantaceae.